AUUGAACGCUGGCGGCAGGCUUAACACAUGCAAGUCGAGCGGAAACGAUACCAGCUUGCUGGUAGGCGUCGAGCGGCGGACAGGUGAGUAACACUUAGGAAUCUACCUAGUAGUGGGGGAUAGCUCGGGGAAACUCGAAUUAAUACCGCAUACGACCUACGGGAGAAAGGGGGCAGUUUACUGCUCUCGCUAUUAGAUGAGCCUAAGUCGGAUUAGCUAGAUGGUGGGGUAAAGGCCUACCAUGGCGACGAUCUGUAGCUGGUCUGAGAGGAUGAUCAGCCACACCGGGACUGAGACACGGCCCGGACUCCUACGGGAGGCAGCAGUGGGGAAUAUUGGACAAUGGGGGCAACCCUGAUCCAGCCAUGCCGCGUGUGUGAAGAAGGCCUUUUGGUUGUAAAGCACUUUAAGCAGUGAAGAAGACCAUAUGGUUAAUACCCAUAUGCGAUGACAUUAGCUGCAGAAUAAGCACCGGCUAACUCUGUGCCAGCAGCCGCGGUAAUACAGAGGGUGCAAGCGUUAAUCGGAAUUACUGGGCGUAAAGCGAGCGUAGGUGGCUUGAUAAGUCAGAUGUGAAAUCCCCGGGCUUAACCUGGGAACUGCAUCUGAUACUGUUAAGCUAGAGUAGGUGAGAGGGAAGUAGAAUUCCAGGUGUAGCGGUGAAAUGCGUAGAGAUCUGGAGGAAUACCGAUGGCGAAGGCAGCUUCCUGGCAUCAUACUGACACUGAGGCUCGAAAGCGUGGGUAGCAAACAGG
This 755-nucleotide ribosomal RNA is filed under the name uncultured bacterium. RNAcentral's name for it is "bacterial SSU rRNA". It matches the Rfam family "Bacterial small subunit ribosomal RNA", at positions 28 to 776 of the family's 1533-position model. The record is from RNAcentral.